Molecule: long non-coding RNA, 7993 nt
Filed under: Lactuca sativa (garden lettuce)
Lineage: Eukaryota; Viridiplantae; Streptophyta; Magnoliopsida; Asterales; Asteraceae
Description: long non-coding RNA (LSAT_LNC005939)
Source: RNAcentral
AUAACUUCUUCAUACGAACUCCGUUUUCGACGUUCUUUAUAUCCACGCGAAGGUGAGACCACGCUCUACGACUUUCGUUUAGACUCCGUCGGCUAAUUUUGACUUUAUUUUUAUUAAUUAUUUUUAAUAGGCCGGGACAGAAACUUUCGUUAUAAAUUCAUAACUUCUUCGUUUGACGUCCGUUCUCGCCUAACUUUUUAUCGUUUCAAUACCAACAAUGAGAUCUUCGAUUCUCAUUUAGAUUGCUUCGGCUAACAACCGCUCGAUCUCAAAUCGAGUAAAACAGGCUGUAUAUCGCUAAGCCGGAACUUCGAUAAAUCAUAACUUCCUCAUACGAAGUCAGAUUUGGGCGUUCUAUAUAUAUUCGGAAACCUCGUUUCAACUACUACAACAUUAACCAAAGAUAUUAAGUUUAUUUUACACUUAAAUUUUGACGCUUAUUUUUAUUCUUAAUUAAUCAAACCACAUAAUUAAGCAAUUAAGCACAAAACACAUAAUACUCAAAUAAUACAAUCUUAUUAUUUCAAAACGGGUUACAAAGGUUAACCUAGACUAUUACAUUGCUAAAAAUGGCAAGCCCGGAAACACAGGCGUUACAAUUCUCUCCACCUUAGAAUGAUUCCGUCCCCGGAAUCACACAUCAACAAACAAAUGCGGAUAGCGACUCAACAUGUCACUCUCCGUCUCCCAGGUGAGAUUCGGCCCAUUCGUGUGUUUCCAUCGGACAAGCACUAACCCAACCAUUUUGCGUCGCAACUUCUUAGUCUUUCGGUCAACAAUUGCCUCUGGUUCUUCAAUCAACCUUUUGUUCUCAUCAAUUCUCAAUUCAGAAAUUGGAAUUAUAUCGGGAACUUCUCCCGUGAACUUCCUCAAAUAACACACAUGAAAGGUGUUGUGAAUUCCAUUCAGUUCUUCGGGUAAUUCGAGCUUGUAAGCUUGAUUCCCAAUCCUCUGAAGGACUUUAAACGGUCCAAUAAACCUUGGACUCAACUUUCCCCUUUUACCAAAUCUUAUAAGUCCCUUCCACGGCGAGACUUUAAGCAAAACCGAAUCUCCAACCUCAAAAGUCAUCGGUCUUCGCUUCUUGUCAGCAUAGCUCUUUUGACGAUCUUGAGCUGCUAACAUUCUUUCCCUAAUUAUUUUCAACUUUUCAGCAGUUUGAUGAACCAUCUCCGGUCCCAUAAACUGCUUUUCCCCAGCCUCAAGCCAACAAGACGGCGUACGACACUUCUGUCCAUACAAAGCUUGAUAAGGUGCCAUCUUAAUGCUCGAGUGAAAACUAUUAUUAUAGGAAAAUUCUACCAACGGUAAAUGUUCAUCCCAAUUACCUAGGAAUUCCAAGGUACAUGCUCUCAGCAUAUCUUCAAGUGUUUGUAUUGUUCUUUCACUCUGACCAUCAGUCUGCGGAUGGUAAGCUGUGCUUAAACAUAACUUGGUACCCAUUUCCUCUUGUAGACUUUUCCAAAACCUUGAGGUGAAACGGCUAUCACGAUCCGAUACAAUCGUUAACGGAACACCGUGAAGCCUCACAAUUUCCUUCACGUAAGAAUUCGCAAGCUUUUCCAUAGACCAUUUCUCCCUGGCCGCUAUGAAAUGCGCACUCUUAGUGAAUCGAUCAACGACCACCCAAAUCAUGUCGUGACCAUUCUUUGUUCUGGGCAGUUUAGUGACAAAAUCCAUAGCAAUGUCUUCCCACUUACCCAUAGGCACAGGCAAUGGUUCUAAACUCCCGUAAGGUUUCUGAUGUUGUGUCUUGACUCUCGCACAAGUCACACACUCGGCCACAUACUUUGCAACAUCAAGCUUCAUCGUCGGCCACCAGUAGUAGGGUUUCAGGUCCCUAUACAUUUUAGUGCUACCCGGAUGAAUUGAGUACAUGGUUUUGUGAGCUUCUUCCAUCAGAAGAUCCCUAAUUCCUCCUGACUUAGGUACCCAAAUACGAUCUUGGAAUACCUUCAGUCCAUGACCGUUAGUACCAAACACCAACGUUUUACCCAAACGUUCCUCCUUUCGGUCAUUUUUCUCAGAAGCUUCCUCUUGAGCUUUCUUUAUACUUUCCACAAUAGUCGAGACAACUUCAAUUCUCAACGCUCUUGGCCUCUUCCUUUCAAGAUUGACUUUCCGACUGAGAGCAUCAGCAACAACAUUAGCUUUACCGGGGUGGUAAAGUAUCUCGCAGUCGUAGUCUUUAAGUAAUUCUAGCCAGCGUCGUUGCCUCAUAUUCAAUUCUUUCUGAUUAAAGAGGUAUUGGAGACUCUUAUGAUCAGUGAAAAGUUUGCACUUCGUGCCAUAGAGGUAAUGCCUCCAUAUUUUCAGAGCGAAAACUACCGCUGCCAACUCCAAAUCAUGAGUCGGGUAAUUCUUUUCAUGCUCUUUCAGCUGUCGAGACGCAUAUGCUAUCACCUUUUCUCUUUGGGUCAAAACACAACCCAAUCCAACACCAGACGCAUCGCUAUAAACAGCGAAGUCUUCAACUCCAUCGGGUAGAGAAAGUAUCGGUGCCUCGCAUAGCUUCUUCUUUAACUUCUCGAAUGCUUCUUUAUGCUUCUCACUCCAAGCAUAAGUAGCUCCUUUGUGGGUCAAAGCUGUUAAUGGAGUAGCAAUCGAAGAAAAGCCUUGGAUAAACCUUCGGUAAUAUCCGGCUAAUCCUAAAAAGCUUCGAAUCUCCGUGGGACUUUUCGGUUGUUCCCACUUCGUCACAGCUUCGAUCUUCGCUGGAUCAACCAUUAUCCCUUCUUGGUUGACCACGUGACCCAAGAAUUGGACCUCACGAAUCCAAAAAUCACAUUUGGAGAACUUCGCAUAAAGCUUCUCCUUCUUCAAAACUUCUAACACUUCUCGCAAGUGUCUGCCAUGCUCCUCCUGGCUUUUCGAGUAGAUCAGAAUGUCGUCUAUGAACACUAUCACGGAUUUAUCAAGGAAAGGAUUACAAACCCUAUUCAUCAAAUCCAUGAACGCUGCUGGAGCAUUGGUUAGUCCAAACGACAUAACCAAGAACUCGUAGUGUCCAUAUCUAGUUCUGAAUGCAGUCUUCUCGAUAUCUUGCUCUCUUACUUUCAGCUGAUGAUAUCCUGACCUAAGAUCGAUCUUCGAGAAAUAGCUCGAACCUUGCAAUUGAUCAAACAGGUCAUCAAUCCUCGGCAACGGAUAUCUAUUCUUUAUUGUUGCCUUGUUCAGCUCUCUGUAAUCGAUGCACAUUCUCAUACUUCCAUCUUUCUUCUUUACAAAUAACACCGGAGCUCCCCAGGGCGAUGAACUAGGUCUAAUGAAACCUUUGUCCAAUAACUCCUGAAGUUGCAUCAUCAGCUCCUUCAUCUCCGUCGGUGCUAAUCGAUAAGGUGCUUUUGCUAUUGGCGUGGUUCCUGGUAACAAGUCUAUUCUGAACUCCACUUGUCUAUCAGGUGGUAAUCCAGGAAGAUCCUCGGGAAAUACUUCCGGAUAAUCACACACCACUGGAAUGCUCUGCAUCACCUUCUUUUCUUUCUUAGCAUCAAUCACGAAUGCUAAAUAUGAUGUACAUCCCUUGGUCAAACACUUUCUGGCUUUCAUUAGAGAAAUGAUUCCAGAAUUCACUCUGCGUUUGUCCCCAUACACCAUAAACGAAUCUUUCCCAGGCGGGUUUACUUUAACUAUCUUCUUCUUGCACAAAAUUUCGGCAUCAUUGGCGCUAAGCCAAUCCAUUCCCAAGACGAUGUCGAAACCAUUUAGUUCGAUAGGCAAUAAUUCCUCGAGAAACUUAUUCCCAUUAAGGUCGAUCAAGACGUUUUUCAUACGAUGGCUAACAGGUACAAACUUGCCACUAGCUACUUCGACUAAUAAAGCAUUAUCUAGUCUAUCAACAGGCAAAGCUAGCUUUCUACCAAACUCAUGCGAAAUAAAGGAGUAGUUGGCUCCAGAAUCAAACAAUAUAUGAGCAGGUAAUUCGUUUACGAGAAAGGUACCUGAAGCGACAUCAGCUUCAUCUUUCGCAGCCUCAAGUGUCAUCUGGAAGGCUCUCGCCUUCGGCUUUGGUGGAAUGUUGGGCCUAGCUGCCUCCUUCUUCUUCGGACAGUCUUUCAAAAUAUGCCCCUCUUCAUUACACCCAAAACACAUCCUUUUGUUGUUCGGACAUUCAUUGGCAAAAUGUCCAACCUUUCCACACUUGUAGCAGGUCACAUCCUCGCUACAUUUCCCAAAGUGCUUUUUCUUACACUUAUCACACCACUUUGCUUCGCCUCCUUUUCCUCCAAACUUUUUCGAAUCAGAUUUCGAAAAUUUGCUCUUCUUACUGGAACCAGAUGUUCCUUCAAACUUCCUUUUCUCACCAACCUCAACCUUGACGGUGGUUCUCCCCUUGAUCAUGUUCUCCACAGACUUGGCAGCCCAGAUAGCUGCCUCUAGAGUAAGUGCCUGACGUACCGGCACCUCGUACUCCCAUGGAAGUCCCUUCGCAUACCGAUCCACCUUUGUCAGCUCGUCUGGAACGAUACGCAAGGCAAACUCCAUCUUAUCGGUGAAGUUAUUGGUGUACUCAUCCACUGACAUGCUACCCUUCGUCAAUGUCAAAAACUUGUUCUCCAACUCCAACAGAUUUUGAGCCGAGCAGAACUUGCGCUUGAACUGCACCAAGAACUCUGCCCAUGACAAUUGCAGUGGCUCAUUAGGGCUUAAGGUCUUCCCUAGAGUGUUCCACCAACGAACGGCUCCACCUCGGAAUUGUCGCACGGCAUAGAUAGUCUGCAACUUGCCUCUACAGCCACAUGUCAUAAAGGCUAACUCCAUUUCGGAGAUCCAAUCCAUAACCCCAAUCGGAUCCUCCUUUCCAUUGAAGGUCGAUGGUUUACAAGUCAAAAAGUCCUUGUACUUGCAUCCCAUUCCAUCAUUCCUUCCAUCAUGGUUAUCUUGCCUAACUAUCGGUGGGUUGGCUGGACCAACAGACCCACUGAAGUUUCCACCUUCCGAGUGCCCUUCAUUCAGUUCAGGCUCUUCCACACGAAUCGACAGUUCUUCACGAUUUUGUUGAAGCAACCGUCUAGUUUCAUCCAUCUGACGAUCCAACAUCGUCUGAAUCAUCAAUUGCACACCAGCCAUGGUUAUUGGCUCAGGUGCUGCUGCUACGACAGGUAUUGGCUCAAUCACUGGUGGUUGAUUCCUGUUUUCGUCAGCAUUUCCAACUCCACUUCUUGUUCUCACCAUUUUGAUCUACACCGAAUAAGGUGAAAUUAGAUCCUCAAUCAUGAUAGAUAUUCAAAUCAUCCUUAUCACUCCGAAACGUUUACAUGCUAGUUCUAAUAUCGUAGACGUACGCUUAGAAUCCUACACACAUAAGGUUUCUAGAUCCGGUCGGCAACAGACCAUAGAUCCGAACAAAUAAUAUCAUAUAUGGCAACAUAUAACAUUUAGCACAUAAAGCAUUUUAGGCAACUUUCCUAAAAUAAACUAGUGCUCGUGUCUAAAUCACAACAGACACACAUCUCAAAACUUCACUUAGCAUUCUAAGUUUAAGUCUAGAAAUCCUACAAAUUCCUAGUUCGCUUAAACUAAUGCUCUGAUACCAACUGUGACAUCCCCAAAAUCUCGGCCAGAAAAGACCGAUUUUCAUUUAUGCUUUUAAAUAUUUUCAGAGUAAAUCCUUUUGAUUUGAAAGAGUUGCGGAAUUUGUUCCCAAAAACAAAACAUGAUAAAACAUUGUUUACCGAAGCAUUUCAUAAAAGAAAUGUAUUUUCAUUAUAAUCAAAACUCGGGGUGUCAUGUUCCGAUACAGACCAAUAAGCAUAAACGAAUACAUUACAAGUCAUAUAACAAAUAUAAACAUAUGCAGACUUGUAAACAAAACAACUUGAUGGUUCAUCCAUCUCAUGCCCUUCCGCCACUACCUGUAAUACAAUUUAAAACUGAGUGGGUCAGGCUUGGGAGCCUGGUGAGCAUAUAGGGUUUUCAACCCACAAUAAAUAUCAUAUUUAAUUUUCACCAACCAACAAUAACCCAAUUACCCAUUCCCGUUAUUCUCACUUUAAUGUCCCUAAAACAACUAACAUAAGGGACCUAGUCUAAGAAUAUUUCAUCGGGGCGACAACACAUGCUUCGGGGGUACCUCAGCAAUAUAAGUCAAAUAAGGCAACCAUGAGGGGGAUGGAGUACAGCGAAUGAACACCCAAGUUCAUUAACACCUACAGGUGGCGAACCUGCUAAUGUUUCCACAAGACUGUCUAGAAUAGCCAGUGGUCGUCAUCUAAACUCCGCUAGAUGACUCAAUCAAACAACAACGAGGCCUCUCAUCUGUUUAUUACACACCAACUGUCUACCCAUGUUCUACCCAACAUAUUAGUAGAUAAAAAUAUACAUUUGUAUACAUAGUUUAAAGAAAACCUGUAUAGCAUGCUUUAAUCAACACAUAUAUCACAUAACAGAUGAGGCACACACACACAUAACACAUAUCUCAUAAAGAAAUAAGCAGAUCUAUAAGAUAGAAGAGAGUGAAUACUCAUUCACACAUAACACAACCAAAUAUAUACACAUAGCACGUAUUUUUAUAUAAAAUACUUCGUAUUAUUGUAUUAGAAGAAAUAACUACACACUCACUUGAUCAGAAGAUGAUCGGACAGCACUACGGCUUAUAGAAGUAGUAAUCCACAGCAGAUCUGGAAGAUCUCCUCGAAAAUCGAACUUCUCGCGGGCAGAGCUUCGACUCGGGAACCGCACUUUUCGGGAUCUUCGGGAUCUCGGGACUUGCCUCGGGGCUAGAGUAUGAUACCGGGACUUCGGGGUAGCUUCGGGGGUUUUUGCACAGAGCUUCGACACGAAAACGAGAGGGAAUUGGCAAAAAUACCCGGAACCCUCGCAUCCUAUUUAUAGGAGGCUGGAGCCUCGGAGUACGCGGGGCGUACUGCGUUACGCGGGGCGUACUGCCCAAAACGUCAUUGCUUACGUAUCCGAAGUGCUCGAGUGCGAGUGUCGACAUCCCUCGGAGUACGCUGGGCGUACUCGAGUACGCGGGGCGUACCUCGGAUCAGAUCGGUGACUCCUUCGGAUAAUGCUUCCGAAUUUCCAAUUAAAUUUAAAUACAAAAUAUUAAAUAAACUUCGGAAAUUCAUAUCUUCUUCAUACGAACUCCGUUUUCGACGUUCUUUAUAUCCACGGAAAGGUGAGACCACGCUCUACGACUUUCGUUUAGAUUCCGUCGGCUAAUUUUGAGUUUAUUUUUAUUAAUUAUUUUUAAUAGGCCGGGACAGAAACUUUCGUUAUAAAUUCAUAACUUCUUCGUUUGACGUCCGUUCUCGCCUAACUUUUUAUCGUUUCAAUACCAACAAUGAGAUCUUCGAUUCUCAUUUAGAUUGCUUCGGCUAACAACCGCUCGAUCUCAAAUCGAGUAAAACAGGUUGUAUACCGCUAAGCCGGAACUUCGAUAAAUCAUAACUUCCUCAUACGAAGUCAGAUUUGGGCGUUCUAUAAAUAUUCGGAAACCUCGUUUCAAUUACUACAACAUUAACCAAAUAUAUUAAGUUUAUUUUACACUUAAAUUUUGACGCUUGUUUUUAUUCUUAAUUAAUCAAACCACAUAAUUAAGCAAUUAAGCACAAAACACAUAAUACUCAAAUAAUAAAAUCUCAUUAUUUCAAAACGGGUUACAAAGGUUAACCUAGACUAUUACAUUGCUAAAAGUGGCAAGCCCGGAAACACAGGCGUUACACAACUACACAAAAAGAACACGCACAAAGAUGUAACAUACAUAUUCAACAUGAGUAGAACAAAUCAGACAUAUGGUUGAAGGGACAUUGAUACACUUAGCAACCGGCUUACUUCGAGUAGGUAGUCUAUUGACCAUCACCCCCAAAGGAAAAUAUUAAGAUUCUUAGGAAGCAACCUACACCACCUUGUUAGCCCUAAACCAUCCGGAAGUAAAAGUGUAACGACCCAAUUUUCACGUCCAAAAAUUUCAUUUUUGAUUAAGUGAUUUGCAAAACAUUUGUAACAAAAUAUCAACCGAUCAUAUCAUUUCAUAAAAACAUGUCUC